RNAcentral lists this ribosomal RNA (253 nucleotides) under uncultured bacterium. Its description in RNAcentral is "partial 16S ribosomal RNA". It matches the Rfam family "Bacterial small subunit ribosomal RNA", at positions 524 to 776 of the family's 1533-position model. The record is from RNAcentral.
UACGUAGGGGGCUAGCGUUGUCCGGAAUCAUUGGGCGUAAAGCGUCCGCAGGUGGCUAUGUAAGUCUGCUGUUAAAGAGUGAGGCUCAACCUCAUAAGAGCAGUGGAAACUACAUAGCUAGAGUGCGUUCGGGGCAGAGGGAAUUCCUGGUGUAGCGGUGAAAUGCGUAGAUAUCAGGAAGAACACCGGUGGCGAAAGCGCUCUGCUAGGCCGCAACUGACACUGAGGGACGGAAGCUAGGGGAGCGAAUGGG